CGCAUCUGUGCAUGCAGCAUAUCAAUAAGCGGAGGAAAAGAAACUAACAAGGAUUCCCCUAGUAACGGCGAGUGAAGCAGGAAGAGCUCAAAUUUGAAAUCUUAAAGGGUUUCCCUUUACGAAUUGUAGUUUAAAGAAGUGUUUUCUGUUGAGGUUUUGGUAAAAGUUCUUUGGAAUAGGACAUCAUAGAGGGUGAGAAUCCCGUAUUUGACCUUUACUUUCAACUUUGUGAUACACUUUCAAAGAGUCGGAUUGUUUGGGAAUGCAGUCCAAAAUGGGUGGUAAAUUUCAUCUAAAGCUAAAUAUUGGCGAGAGACCGAUAGCGAACAAGUACCGUGAGGGAAAGAUGAAAAGGACUUUGAAAAGAGAGUUAAACAGUACGUGAAAUUGUCAAAAGGGAAGCGUUUGACACCAGUGUUGUUUUUCUGAAAAUCAAUUAAAGAACUGUUUAUGCUAAGCUGUUUAGACUUUAUCAGCUAUCUGUUUAGUUUUGAGCUUUUCUUUAAUGCACUUUUCAGUUAACAAGUCAACAUCAAUUUCUUUUGCUGUAAAAAAGCUUGAGGAAGGUGGCUUGAGAUUCGUCUUAAGUGUUUAUAGCCUCUUGCCUAUGCAGUCGGAGAGAUUGAGGUCUGCAGCGUAGAUCCUUCGGGGCUAAAUGCAUUUGUGCUAAGUUAUAGGCAUUUUAUAGACAACUUGUUGACUAUGAUUUGUCUUGUAGCUUACUCGCUUAUGUUAUUUUACCUACGCUUAGGAUGUUGAAUCUGUGCGAGACUAC
This 775-nucleotide ribosomal RNA is filed under the name uncultured Neocallimastigales. Its description in RNAcentral is "partial large subunit ribosomal RNA". It matches the Rfam family "Eukaryotic large subunit ribosomal RNA", at positions 26 to 644 of the family's 3401-position model. Lineage: Eukaryota; Fungi; Neocallimastigomycota; Neocallimastigomycetes; Neocallimastigales. The record is from RNAcentral.